GCUCAGGAUGAACGCUGGCGGCGUGCUUAACACAUGCAAGUCGAACGAUGAUGCCAGCUUGCUGGCGGAUUAGUGGCGAACGGGUGAGUAACACGUGAGUAACCUGCCCUUAACUCUGGGAUAAGCCUGGGAAACUGGGUCUAAUACCGGAUAUGACUCCUCAUCGCAUGGUGGGGGGUGGAAAGCUUUAUUGUGGUUUUGGAUGGACUCGCGGCCUAUCAGCUUGUUGGUGAGGUAAUGGCUCACCAAGGCGACGACGGGUAGCCGGCCUGAGAGGGUGACCGGCCACACUGGGACUGAGACACGGCCCAGACUCCUACGGGAGGCAGCAGUGGGGAAUAUUGCACAAUGGGCGAAAGCCUGAUGCAGCGACGCCGCGUGAGGGAUGACGGCCUUCGGGUUGUAAACCUCUUUCAGUAGGGAAGAAGCGAAAGUGACGGUACCUGCAGAAGAAGCGCCGGCUAACUACGUGCCAGCAGCCGCGGUAAUACGUAGGGCGCAAGCGUUAUCCGGAAUUAUUGGGCGUAAAGAGCUCGUAGGCGGUUUGUCGCGUCUGCCGUGAAAGUCCGGGGCUCAACUCCGGAUCUGCGGUGGGUACGGGCAGACUAGAGUGAUGUAGGGGAGACUGGAAUUCCUGGUGUAGCGGUGAAAUGCGCAGAUAUCAGGAGGAACACCGAUGGCGAAGGCAGGUCUCUGGGCAUUAACUGACGCUGAGGAGCGAAAGCAUGGGGAGCGAACAGGAUUA
This 745-nucleotide ribosomal RNA is filed under the name Arthrobacter sp. RNAcentral describes it as "bacterial SSU rRNA". It matches the Rfam family "Bacterial small subunit ribosomal RNA", at positions 22 to 780 of the family's 1533-position model. Lineage: Bacteria; Bacillati; Actinomycetota; Actinomycetes; Micrococcales; Micrococcaceae. The record is from RNAcentral.